This 1994-nucleotide unclassified non-coding RNA is filed under the name Hevea brasiliensis (rubber tree). The record is from RNAcentral. Lineage: Eukaryota; Viridiplantae; Streptophyta; Magnoliopsida; Malpighiales; Euphorbiaceae.
UUGAAACUACAAAAAUUUUGGCCACACAUUUUAAACAUGGAAUGAUGAGCAAUGCGUUCAGAAGAAUUCAAAUUUCAACCUUAUUAAGAUUUAAUCCACAACGGUACAACCACAUAAGAAUUCUUGUGAGACAUAAUCUACAGGCUGUUUUGAUUCAUGUUGAUCAACUUAACUACACCUACGGUAACACUUGACCAAGAAACUAAAAACCUUGCUGCCGUUAAAAGUUCCUAAUCCCAAUACAAGCUGCAAUACCGGUGUCAACAAAUGAAAAAGAAAAUUAAAGCAAGGAAAUUUCAAGUGAAAAUAGAAGAUUACACAGGCAGAAUACAAAACAUUUCACAAAUGAAGUUCACCUGAAUUACAGAUGAGCCUCCAUAAAAGGUACCGGCUUCUCUUCAAGCACAGAGCUCUGCAGAACCUCUUGGACUAUUGAUCCCUCCACCUUGGACUUGAGAGAGGGAAAAAACCUGUUGGUGAUAAUGGAAACACAAGGCCUGGUGAGGGUGGAGGUUGAGGCCCUGGACCUAAAAUCCCCGACUGUGGAAAUGCAAAAUUUGGUGUCAACGGUGGAGGAAACUGAACCCCAGGAGAAAACAACGGAUAAGGAGACCGCGGAGACAACAAAUUCAUGAAACCAGUAGGCGAUGGUAAAAGGAAUUGAGAUGUGGGUGAAGGUAAAAGGGCAGGGCCACUCAUUUGUUGGGAGAGGAGAUUAGGCACAGGGGGAACGGGACCAUUUAAUCUUGGUGACGGUAGUGCAGGCACAUGUGGAUUAGGAAGUAAACCAGAAGAUUGCUGAGGCUGAAUUUGCCCUGGACCUUGUGCUUGCUGUUGUUGUAAUGGUGGAUGAGCUAAGUUCGUCCUCGGACUAGGAUCCAUUAUUGAAGUUUGAAGAUAUCGCAUGUAAGCUGAGAUUGGAGACUCGGCUGUAUUUGCCCAAGCAUAGUCCCCAGACGCUGUUGGAGCUGGGUGUCCAAAUGGGCCAGGCCUAACAAAGCCAUUGUUAAAAGGAACUGGGGGUGAUGCCAGUGCUGGAGCCGGCACAGGAGGGGGAAUAUGGGGCCGAUUGAUGGGAGUUAAAGGGGGUGGUCUAAUCUUCUGCAACCGCAUACUUUGGGGUUUGGGUGGAUUUUGUGGAGGUCUAGGCAAAGGCUCUUGCGAUGGAGAACCAGUUAGUUGCUGAACAAUAUUCCUAAAAUCGUUCUUGCUUAUGUUGUAGACUUGAGGCUGAGGUUGUUGCCUAUUGGCAUUGUUAGCAAAAUUGGGUUGGUGCAACGGGCUUUUCCUUAUAUUCUUGCCCAUCUUGUUGACACCCAAAUGAUCAUUCUGCUGCCUGUUUUUUGAGUUAUCCAUACUUGAUAACCCAAUAUAAGCUCACUCCAAAAAAAAAACCCAAAACACCAAUUUUUCAGAAAACCAACCAGUCAAACCAUCCAAAAGCCCCGCAAAACAAAAUUCAGAACUUAAUAGAAAUCCCAGCUCAAGCACUAAUUGUCUCCACACUCAACUUGAAUAAACUAGAUACUAUACUGUAUUGAAGUACCACCAAGAAAGCUUCAAUUUAACACCAGUACUGCAGAAUUAAGCUCCAAAAAACCAACAGAUAAUAAAAUCCCACCACAAAAGGCAACAAAAGCAAAUCCUAAAGCAGAUAUUCAAUAAGCAAAGAACUUUUGGCUUCAAUCCAAAAUUUCAACCUGAAAAUUUGCUAGAAAAACAUCUCAAAUCUAAAGGUCUAAAUUAAAUACAUAACCAAACAACAGAACCCAAAUCUCCCUGUAUAACCCUUGUCCCAAAAGCACAAAUCUCCCAGCAAAAUCGAUGGUAAAUAAACUCGAAAUAGAAGCAGCAAGUAUAAAUCUAACAAUUCAAAGAAAAACCCCUAACUAUAAUAUGAUAACCGUUGUUCAGAUAGAGUAUAGAAGAAAACGAAAGAGUAAACGCAGAUGAAGGAAUAACAAAAAAACAAAUAAGAGAGAGAGAGAGAGAGA